This 1010-nucleotide long non-coding RNA is filed under the name Anser brachyrhynchus (Pink-footed goose). RNAcentral describes it as "lncRNA (ENSABRG00000021006.1)". Lineage: Eukaryota; Metazoa; Chordata; Aves; Anseriformes; Anatidae. The record is from RNAcentral.
UCUCUUCCAACCUAGAAAUCUGUGAUACUGUGAUACUGUGAUAUCAGACCCUCAAUAAAUAAAACGUCUUGAACCAUAUCAGUCCAAAAGGAGAAUUUUGUGUUGGUCAGAUGUGUUUAUGAAAAUGAUUGUAGUUUAGCCACUUUUUGAAGACAAGGAAUAUAGAAGAGAUUAUAUCAACUGCAGAUCAUCUGAAAGGAUUCCCAUUUAUUUUAAAAGCAGGAAAUAUGGGCCAACGUACAAAUUCUUGAGGAAAAAAACAGAUGUAGCAAGCAAGAAGAUACUGUGAACUGAACUCGACAAGUUAAUUAGGAAGUCUUGGAAAUGAAUCAUAUCUCUCAAAUUUUUUUUGUUUGUUUGUUUCAGUUGUAACUAUUCCUAAGGUAUUUGGGGAUGUUUUUGUACGUAAGGUUCUAUACACCCGAGGUAACCAAAGUCUGAAGUGGUGACAGUCCAAAAGAAUCCUGAUAAAUCAACUUCAUGCUUCCCUAGUAGGACAGCAGAUGUAAUUUUAAACUGAAAAACUGAGGAGAUAGUGCUACACCAGAAAAUAUGCCACUAAACAGGAGAGCAAAUGUGCUGAUGAGUACAAAAACGUCUGUCUAGGAGCUAAUGCUACAGAGCCACCAUUGCCUGCCAAAGCAAACAUUAUAUGAGUUUUGACUUCAAUGAGUGUGGAAAUUUUGUAGUACCAGUCGGCUCUUUUCACUCCCUUGCACGUUACCCAGAAAAACAUCAGGGCAACCUGGAAAGUUACAAGAAGUCCUCAUGCAUGAAAAAGUGUUUCAAUGAACUUUGCUCAAGAGAGGUCUGAAAGGUGCGUUAUGAUGAUGACCAGGACUAGCACUGGACGCAUAAACUGAUACUACACUGUCAACUCUCCUGAAGCAAGCGACAUACUUAGUGACAUAUUGGAGGAGAGGGGAGUGCUUAUCCCUUCGAGGAAGUCUGCCUCUGAUACCUGAGUCAACAAUCUGUUCUUUGGUUUCACUAAGAAUAUUAAAGGUGUA